AUCUGCCGCCGGUGUUCAGGACGAUACGCACUAACCAUGGCGGCAGCGACUGCGAGCAUUGGAGCUCUGUGGAGCCUAAGAAGAGCAGCUCGAUCUUCCAGUUUCCGAACUCCCCUUGCCGUUAAUCUCGGCAAGGUCUCAUUCCACGAGGCCCGGUUUCCCUCUUCUCCAUCUUCUCCUCUUGGCGCCUCAGGAAUGUGCCAAUUAGUGCAGGCUGUGAAGGGAGACAUUGAUGUUUUACUCAAUGGAGUUGGAGAUAAAGGUGUUAUUGUAGAUGUGAAACAUAUUCUUGUUAUGGCCAAACGUUCGUUAUCGAGACGAGAAGUUCUCCAUACAAACUUUCUCACUCCACCUGUGGUGAAAGAGUCGAUGCUAGCCAUUCAGAAACUAGCCGACGUUAAAGCAAUAGCGCAGGGAGGAUAUCCAGAGGCAGAGCGCUGUCGGAUUUCUGUUGGGCAUGCUGAUGAACUAACAAGUGAUCCAGACGUCGUUUCGGCAUUGAGUAUCACAGGAAAUUUUGUGUUUCAGACCUGCACACAUGGGGACUUCCUUGGAGCAAUUCUUGGCACAGGCAUUGCUAGGGAAAAGCUUGGUGAUAUCAUACUCCAGGAAGAGAAGGGAGCUCAAGUAGUUAUUGUUCCAGAACUCGUCGACUUCCUUGUAUCAUCGCUGCGCAAGGUUGGCAAUGUCACGGUUUCUUGUACGAGGAUUCCAUUGACAGAUCUCGAUUAUGAACCACCGAAGACUAAGACAUUUAAAACCAUUGAGGCAUCUCUUAGGGUUGAUGCUCUAGCAAGUGCUGGAUUCAAGAUUUCACGGUCUAAACUAGUGGAUUUCAUCAGCAGUGGCGGUGAUGUACGUGUCAAUUGGACGACGAUUACUAAAAAUGGAACCAUACUAAAGACUGGUGAUAUUGUUUCUGUUAGUGGGAAAGGGAGACUAAAGAUUGGCGAAAUAAAUCCUACAAAGAAGGGAAAAUUCGCCAUCGAGCUUAUCAAGUACGUGUAAGCUCUGGUGUAUUGGAUCGUUCGGAGUUGAACUGGGUAAAGAUUGUCAUGGAAUCUCCCUCGAGGUCGAACAUCAAGGAAGCAUGAGAAUAAUUAAAUUUCAUCAGAUUAGAGAGAGAAAUUCUCAGAAGGUCCACAUAUACGCACCCAAAUCGGCGGAACCCAUAGUCCUCGAAUCCUCCGGCGACGGAGCACCACCGCACCCAUCCACGUCAGCGGCACCGGAGAGGAGAUGAACCAGCGGCGGACUCACAGGGGAGAAGAACGGCGCCUGCAGAUUCUCCUGGAUGCUCCGAAGGUUCGGGAAGGCCGAGACGGAGAGAUUAUGACCACCACCAGCCGGGAAGCUUGCAGCGGGGUAGCUCAGGUUGUUGGUGGAGAAACAGGUCACGUGCAGCUGGUGCUCCCUUUGGUCGUCGAGAGAGCUGCCGUCGCGGUUGGCGAAGGCGGAGGUGCUGAUACUGGUAUCAGCAGCAGCAG
Molecule: RNA transcript, 1487 nt
Organism: Cucurbita moschata (crookneck pumpkin)
Lineage: Eukaryota; Viridiplantae; Streptophyta; Magnoliopsida; Cucurbitales; Cucurbitaceae
Gene name: putative RNA-binding protein YlmH
Exons: 11
Source: RefSeq, a predicted model, not a curated record